UUUUUGUUUGAUCCAUCCAAUAGUAUGGCUCUCUCUCUUUCUUCUUUGUUUCCUAUAAUAUAUGUUUCUGUUAGCGUUGUUCGGUUGAUGUGGUUCACAACACUGCUGCUUCUGCUGCUGCAGCUAGUUAGGCAUUUUAGCUUUGCAGAUAAGGCGCAGAAAGUUUGUAUAGCUGUAAUAAAAAGGGGUAAAUAAUUUUCACUAUUGCUACUGUGUCUCAUUUAUUGAUAAUUGAUGAAUAGUUAUCUUCCUCUCUGCACUUUCCUUUAUUAUUAUGUAUAUUAGUUUAUUGAGUAUUAUAUUUUCUUGUCUUCUUUUGUUCAGCUGCAGCCGCUUUUCUUGUCUGGAUUAGCACUGCAUAUAAACGUGUUUUAGGUAAAUAAAAAGUGGGUUUUCUCCAUUUUCUCAAGGGCAAAAGCUUAAAAGAGUAAGUAGCCUAAUUAUGAUGUUUUUCCCCCCUC
This 461-nucleotide long non-coding RNA is filed under the name Lupinus angustifolius (narrow-leaved blue lupine). RNAcentral describes it as "long non-coding RNA (LANG_LNC001585)". The record is from RNAcentral. Lineage: Eukaryota; Viridiplantae; Streptophyta; Magnoliopsida; Fabales; Fabaceae.